Molecule: ribosomal RNA, 440 nt
Filed under: uncultured bacterium
Lineage: Bacteria
Description: bacterial SSU rRNA
Rfam family: Bacterial small subunit ribosomal RNA
Source: RNAcentral
GACGAACGCUGGCGGCGUGGAUUAGGCAUGCAAGUCGAACGGUAGAUAUCCUUCGGGGUAUUGAGAGUGGCGAACGGGUGAGUAACACGUAGGUAAUCUACCCUCAAAUCGGGGACAACCCAGGGAAACUUGGGCUAAUACCGGAUGAGGUGCAGCACCUAAAUCAUCCAUACGGAAUCUGGUUAAAGAUUGGGUUUUGUAUGGUUGGGUGAUUUAGGUGCUGUAUAAAAGAUGGCUUCGGCUGUCGUUUGAGGAUGAGCCUGCGCUCUAUUAGUUAGUUGGUGAGGUAAUGGCUCACCAAGGCGAUGAUAGAUAGGCGGCCUUAACGGGUGGUCGCCCACACUGGGAUUGAGAUACGGCCCAGACUCCUACGGGAGGCAGCAGUCGAGAAUAGUCUACAAUGGACGAAAGUCUGAUAGUGCGACGCCGCGUGAACGAUG